This 206-nucleotide long non-coding RNA is filed under the name Elaeis guineensis (African oil palm). Its description in RNAcentral is "long non-coding RNA (EGUI_LNC072503)". The record is from RNAcentral. Lineage: Eukaryota; Viridiplantae; Streptophyta; Magnoliopsida; Arecales; Arecaceae.
CCCUCCUUGCAAGGCUUUUGAAGGAUUUUUGGAUCUCUGAAUUCUCAGAUCUCUAAAUUCCUCGAAUUUAUUCGAUGGUUCCUAGAGGACCAAAACAUAUCUUGAGAAGAUGGGGUUUAGAUAUAUGGCAGAUUGGCUUUAGUGCAAAUAGGAGAUUAUUAGAUAUAUGCCCUAGAAGGCAAUCGGACCGACACAUUUAUUCUUUC